GACGAACGCUGGCGGCGUGCCUAAUACAUGCAAGUUGAGCGAUGAAGAUUGGUGCUUGCACCAAUUUGAAGAGCAGCGAACGGGUGAGUAACGCGUGGGGAAUCUGCCUUUGAGCGGGGGACAACAUUUGGAAACGAAUGCUAAUACCGCAUAACAACUUUAAACAUAAGUUUUAAGUUUGAAAGAUGCAAUUGCAUCACUCAAAGAUGAUCCCGCGUUGUAUUAGCUAGUUGGUGAGGUAAAGGCUCACCAAGGCGAUGAUACAUAGCCGACCUGAGAGGGUGAUCGGCCGCAUUGGGACUGAGACACGGCCCAAACUCCUUCGGGAGGCAGCAGUAGGGAAUCUUCGGCAAUGGACGAAAGUCUGACCGAGCAACGCCGCGUGAGUGAAGAAGGUUUUCGGAUCGUAGAACUCUGUUGGUAGAGAAGAACGUUGGUGAGAGUGGAAAGCUCAUCAAGUGACGGUAACUACCCAGAAAGGGACGGCUAACUACGUG
This 497-nucleotide ribosomal RNA is filed under the name uncultured bacterium. RNAcentral describes it as "partial 16S ribosomal RNA". It matches the Rfam family "Bacterial small subunit ribosomal RNA", at positions 28 to 507 of the family's 1533-position model. The record is from RNAcentral.